UGGGGAAUUUUGGACAAUGGGCGCAAGCCUGAUCCAGCCAUGCCGCGUGCGGGAAGAAGGCCUUCGGGUUGUAAACCGCUUUUGUCAGGGAAGAAAUCUUCUGAGUUAAUACCUCGGGAGGAUGACGGUACCUGAAGAAUAAGCACCGGCUAACUACGUGCCAGCAGCCGCGGUAAUACGUAGGGUGCAAGCGUUAAUCGGAAUUACUGGGCGUAAAGCGUGCGCAGGCGGUUUUGUAAGACAGAGGUGAAAUCCCCGGGCUCAACCUGGGAACUGCCUUUGUGACUGCAAGGCUUGAGUGCGGCAGAGGGGGAUGGAAUUCCGCGUGUAGCAGUGAAAUGCGUAGAUAUGCGGAGGAACACCGAUGGCGAAGGCAAUCCCCUGGGCCUGCACUGACGCUCAUGCACGAAAGCGUGGGGAGCAAACAGGAUUAGAUACCCUGGUAGUCCACGCCCUAAACGAUGUCAACUGGUUGUUGGGAAGGUUCCUUCUCAGUAACGUAGCUAACGCGUGAAGUUGACCGCCUGGGGAGUACGGCCGCAAGGUUGAAACUAAAGGAAUUGACGGGGUCAUAGCUG
RNAcentral lists this ribosomal RNA (578 nucleotides) under uncultured bacterium. RNAcentral's name for it is "partial 16S ribosomal RNA". It matches the Rfam family "Bacterial small subunit ribosomal RNA", at positions 355 to 932 of the family's 1533-position model. The record is from RNAcentral.